RNAcentral lists this ribosomal RNA (445 nucleotides) under uncultured bacterium. Its description in RNAcentral is "partial 16S ribosomal RNA". It matches the Rfam family "Bacterial small subunit ribosomal RNA", at positions 354 to 796 of the family's 1533-position model. The record is from RNAcentral.
GUGAGGAAUAUUGCGCAAUGGAGGCAACUCUGACGCAGCCAUGGCGCGUGCAGGAAGAAGGCGCUACGCGUUGUAAACUGCUUUUAACCGGGAAGAAACCCCAGGACGUGUCCUGGGUUGACGGUACCGGAGGAAUAAGCACCGGCUAACUUCGUGCCAGCAGCCGCGGUAAUACGAAGGGUGCAAGCGUUAUCCGGAUUCAUUGGGUUUAAAGGGUGCGUAGGCGGAGCGUUAAGUCAGUGGUGAAAUCCUGCAGCUUAACUGUAGACUUGCAAUUGAUACUGGCGCUCUUGAGUGCGCUUGAAGUGGGCGGAAUGUGCCGUGUAGCGGUGAAAUGCUUAGAUAUGGCACAGAACACCAAUUGCGAAGGCAGCUCACUAAGGCGAUACUGACGCUGAGGCACGAAAGCGUGGGGAUCGAACAGGAUUAGAAACCCUGGUAGUCC